Molecule: ribosomal RNA, 427 nt
Filed under: uncultured bacterium
Lineage: Bacteria
Description: bacterial SSU rRNA
Rfam family: Bacterial small subunit ribosomal RNA
Source: RNAcentral
UAGGGAAUCUUCGGCAAUGGACGGAAGUCUGACCGAGCAACGCCGCGUGAGUGAAGAAGGUUUUCGGAUCGUAAAACUCUGUUGUUAGAGAAGAACAAGUAGGAGAGUAACUGCUCUUACCUUGACGGUAUCUAACCAGAAAGCCACGGCUAACUACGUGCCAGCAGCCGCGGUAAUACGUAGGUGGCAAGCGUUGUCCGGAUUUAUUGGGCGUAAAGCGAGCGCAGGCGGUUUCUUAAGUCUGAUGUGAAAGCCCCCGGCUCAACCGGGGAGGGUCAUUGGAAACUGGGAGACUUGAGUGCAGAAGAGGAGAGUGGAAUUCCAUGUGUAGCGGUGAAAUGCGUAGAUAUAUGGAGGAACACCAGUGGCGAAGGCGACUCUCUGGUCUGUAACUGACGCUGAGGCUCGAAAGCGUGGGGAGCAAACA